RNAcentral lists this ribosomal RNA (1343 nucleotides) under uncultured bacterium. Its description in RNAcentral is "16S ribosomal RNA". It matches the Rfam family "Bacterial small subunit ribosomal RNA", at positions 28 to 1378 of the family's 1533-position model. The record is from RNAcentral.
GACGAACGCUGGCGGCGUGCUUAACACAUGCAAGUCGAACGGAAAGGCCCUGCUUUUGUGGGGUGCUCGAGUGGCGAACGGGUGAGUAACACGUGAGUAACCUGCCCUUGACUUUGGGAUAACUUCAGGAAACUGGGGCUAAUACCGGAUAGGAGCUCCUGCUGCAUGGUGGGGGUUGGAAAGUUUCGGCGGUUGGGGAUGGACUCGCGGCUUAUCAGCUUGUUGGUGGGGUAGUGGCUUACCAAGGCUUUGACGGGUAGCCGGCCUGAGAGGGUGACCGGCCACAUUGGGACUGAGAUACGGCCCAGACUCCUACGGGAGGCAGCAGUGGGGAAUAUUGCACAAUGGGCGGAAGCCUGAUGCAGCAACGCCGCGUGCGGGAUGACGGCCUUCGGGUUGUAAACCGCUUUCGCCUGUGACGAAGCGUGAGUGACGGUAAUGGGUAAAGAAGCACCGGCUAACUACGUGCCAGCAGCCGCGGUGAUACGUAGGGUGCGAGCGUUGUCCGGAUUUAUUGGGCGUAAAGGGCUCGUAGGUGGUUGAUCGCGUCGGAAGUGUAAUCUUGGGGCUUAACCCUGAGCGUGCUUUCGAUACGGGUUGACUUGAGGAAGGUAGGGGAGAAUGGAAUUCCUGGCGGAGCGGUGGAAUGCGCAGAUAUCAGGAGGAACACCAGUGGCGAAGGCGGUUCUCUGGGCCUUUCCUGACGCUGAGGAGCGAAAGCGUGGGGAGCGAACAGGCUUAGAUACCCUGGUAGUCCACGCUGUAAACGGUGGGUACUAGGUGUGGGGUCCAUUCCACGGGUUCCGUGCCGUAGCUAACGCUUUAAGUACCCCGCCUGGGGAGUACGGCCGCAAGGCUAAAACUCAAAGGAAUUGACGGGGCCCCGCACAAGCGGCGGAGCAUGCGGAUUAAUUCGAUGCAACGCGUAGAACCUUACCUGGGUUUGACAUGGGUCGGGAGUGCUCAGAGAUGGGUGUGCCUCUUUUGGGGUCGGUUCACAGGUGGUGCAUGGCUGUCGUCAGCUCGUGUCGUGAGAUGUUGGGUUAAGUCCCGCAACGAGCGCAACCCUUGUUCACUGUUGCCAGCACGUUAUGGUGGGGACUCAGUGGAGACCGCCGGGGUCAACUCGGAGGAAGGUGGGGAUGACGUCAAGUCAUCAUGCCCCUUAUGUCCAGGGCUUCACGCAUGCUACAAUGGCUGGUACAGAGAGUGGCGAGCCUGUGAGGGUGAGCGAAUCUCGGAAAGCCGGUCUCAGUUCGGAUUGGGGUCUGCAACUCGACCUCAUGAAGUCGGAGUCGCUAGUAAUCGCAGAUCAGCAACGCUGCGGUGAAUACGUUCCCGGG